CUUACCUCCGUAGAUAGAACUAUAUGUAAUGCUCACCUUCUUAACAAGAUUUUUGGUCCAACUACAGCCACUUAAAAUAUUGAUAUCUAGAUUAAUAGUAGGGAGGAGGAUAAGCUCAUACGAAUAUUCUCAAGUCAUGAAGAUUUCACUUCACAACCUUUCCAGAAGAUAUACAGUGGCAGCAAAUACUGGGCCAUCCUACCAUUCACCAUGGGAAGCUUCCAUUAUUGGGAUUUUGUUUUGAUUAAUCUCUUUGUGUCAACAAUAUUGUUGCAGCCAAGCUCCGAUUUGAUAUCAUCUCCGACAGCAGUUUUGCAAGCCAUCAAUCAAAGAAUGGUUACUAUCAGUAUGAACCAGUAUUGUAGUUUAGAUUAUUUAUAUAAUCACAAUGUAGAAGGUGAGUUAAUUUACUACGAUUCAACAGUGCUGAUUCAACAUUGUGUGAACCAGAAUUUGAAUUUUCAAAAUUCAAUAAUUCCUACUAUAGAUCAGCGUAAUUUGUGGGUCUCCAGCUAUCCUAUAAAUAUUUCCGAGUUGACUGUAAUCGACUUCAAUGCCAGUAUUCGGUAUAUUUUCUCUUUGAAUAUAUCCUUUACUUUUUUACCA
Long non-coding RNA from Papaver somniferum (opium poppy), 606 nucleotides. RefSeq lists it as uncharacterized. The record is from RefSeq and is a predicted model, not a curated record. Lineage: Eukaryota; Viridiplantae; Streptophyta; Magnoliopsida; Ranunculales; Papaveraceae. The transcript is spliced from 2 exons.